GUGCCAGCCGCCGCGGUAAUACGUAGGGUGCGAGCGUUAAUCGGAAUUACUGGGCGUAAAGCGUGCGCAGGCGGAUUGUUAAGCAAGAUGUGAAAUCCCCGGGCUUAACCUGGGAAUGGCAUUUUGAACUGGCAAUCUAGAGUGUGUCAGAGGGGGGUAGAAUUCCACGUGUAGCAGUGAAAUGCGUAGAGAUGUGGAGGAAUACCGAUGGCGAAGGCAGCCCCCUGGGAUAACACUGACGCUCAUGUACGAAAGCGUGGGUAGCAAACAGGAUUAGAUACCCUGGUAGUCCACGCCCUAAACGAUGUCAACUGGUUGUUGGGAGAGUGAAAUCUCUUAGUAACGAAGCUAACGCGUGAAGUUGACCGCCUGGGGAGUACGGUCGCAAGAUUAAAACUCAAAGGAAUUGACGGGGACCCGCACAAGCGGUGGAUGAUGUGGAUUAAUUCGAUGCAACGCGAAAAACCUUACCUACCCUUGACAUGUCCAGAAUCCUGCAGAGAUGCGGGAGUGCCCGAAAGGGAAUUGGAACACAGGUGCUGCAUGGCUGUCGUCAGCUCGUGUCGUGAGAUGUUGGGUUAAGUCCCGCAACGAGCGCAACCCUUAUCAUUAGUUGCUACGCAAGGGCACUCUAAUGAGACUGCCGGUGACAAACCGGAGGAAGGUGGGGAUGACGUCAAGUCCUCAUGGCCCUUAUGGGUAGGGCUUCACACGUCAUACAAUGGUCGGUACAGAGGGUUGCCAAGCCGCGAGGUGGAGCCAAUCCCAGAAAGCCGAUCGUAGUCCGGAUUGUUCUCUGCAACUCGAGAGCAUGAAGUCGGAAUCGCUAGUAAUCGCGGAUCAGCAUGUCGCGGUGAAUACGUUCCCGGGUCUUGUACACACCGCCCGUCACACCAUGGGAGUGGAAUCUGCCAGAAGUAGGUAGCCUAACCGCAAGGAGGGCGCUUACCACGGUGGGUUUCAUGACUGGGGUGAAGUCGUAACAAGGUAACC
This 993-nucleotide ribosomal RNA is filed under the name uncultured bacterium. RNAcentral's name for it is "bacterial SSU rRNA". It matches the Rfam family "Bacterial small subunit ribosomal RNA", at positions 505 to 1501 of the family's 1533-position model. The record is from RNAcentral.